UGGAUUUUUGAAUAAUCUUGA
RNAcentral lists this non-coding RNA (21 nucleotides) under Caenorhabditis elegans. Lineage: Eukaryota; Metazoa; Nematoda; Chromadorea; Rhabditida; Rhabditidae. The record is from RNAcentral.